Molecule: ribosomal RNA, 229 nt
Filed under: uncultured Lactobacillus sp.
Lineage: Bacteria; Bacillati; Bacillota; Bacilli; Lactobacillales; Lactobacillaceae
Description: partial 16S ribosomal RNA
Rfam family: Bacterial small subunit ribosomal RNA
Source: RNAcentral
UAGUCUGGGAUACCACUCGGAAACAGGUGCUAAUACCGGAUAAGAAAGCGGAUCGCAUGAUCAGCUUUUAAAAGGCGGCGUAAGCUGUCUCUAUGGGAUGGCCCCGCGGUGCAUUAGCUAGUUGGUAAGGUAAAGGCUUACCAAGGCGAUGAUGCAUAGCCGAGUUGAGAUACUGAUCGGCCACAUUGGGACUGAGACACGGCCCAAACUCCUACGGGAGGCAGCAGCU